This is a long non-coding RNA of Stegostoma tigrinum, 5680 nucleotides long. RefSeq lists it as uncharacterized. NCBI's taxonomy places the organism in Eukaryota, Metazoa, Chordata, Chondrichthyes, Orectolobiformes, Stegostomatidae. The transcript is spliced from 3 exons. The record is from RefSeq and is a predicted model, not a curated record.
GUAGGGAGUGGAGGAGAGGAGCAGAGCAGGUCAUGACAAGGGUGUGAGAGACAUCAUCUUCACUUCAUGUCCACUCUGUCCAGGCCUCUCAUCUUGAACUAGCACUCUCAAGUCUCAUUGCACUAAAGAUGCCCAAGUCUCUUUGCACUUAAGAUUUCAAAGUCUCUCACUGUUCAGAAAAUAGUCCACAUUUUUCCUACUAAACUGUCUAACCUCACGCUUUGCCAAAUUGUAUCCCAUCUGCCACUUUUUGACUUGGCUAGAAUGUCCAAGACCUUCUGCAGACUCUCUGCUUUUUCAACAGUACUUGUUCCUUGAUGUUUGCCAUCUGCAAACAUACCAACAAAAGAGUGGCCUCUGGACUCUAGCCAAUGACCAAGGUCCCUUGGAAAUAACUCCAGUCAUCAAGUCACCCUUUAUUUACACAUGGAGAGUCCCCAACACUGAUCCAGCUCUGGCAGUCCUUUUAAGUUUGUCAGCCAGGGGUCCUUGAUUUGUGCUCUUAACCUGGUCUAAUUGGGAAACUCAUUCUAUGAGGUUCACCUGGCUGACCUUGUUACAAUCAGGGGUGUUGUAUUAGCCACUUACUAGGCCUCUGGGACUCUUCCUGACUCCAGUGAUUUCUGAAAGAUCACCACCAAUACUUCUACUGUCUCCACAGCUAUAUCCUUCAGAACUCUGGGGAGUAUGCCAUCAGUUCCGGAUGAUUUAUCUGCCUCAGACUUUCCAGUUUCCCCAGCAUCAUCUCCUCAGUGAUUGCCACUGAGCUCACCUUUGCCCCCUGACUGUCUGGAGAGAGGGAUAAUGUAUGUGAGAAUGUGAAUAAGAGGAGAGAGAGAGUGAAUGUGAGGAGGGGUGAGAGAGGAUGGAUGAGUGGAGGAGAGGGAAAGUAAGGGAAGAACGGGAGUGAGUAGAGUGUGACAAUGGGAGUCAAAAGAGAGGGUCAUAGAGCCGUACAGCUUGGAAACAGACCCUUCAGUCCAACCAGUUAUGCUAAAGGAGAUGUUUUGAGGAGAAAAAGGGAGUUUUGAGCAGAGUGAGGAAACUUGAGUAUGGAUGUGAGGAGAAGUUGGGAGCAGUUGUGAGGAGAGAGGGAGUGUGGGUGUGAGGAGAUAUGGGCAGGGGUGUGAGGAGAGGGGUUACGAAGAGAGUGAGUGAGAGGGUGUGACGAUGGGGUGUGAGGUGAGGCUGAGGGAGUGUAAGGACAGGGGUGGGAAUGUGAGAAGAGAGAGUAGGGAGGGGGACGGAGAGAGGAAGAGUGAUGUAAAGACGGUGGGGGAGGUUGUCUGGUCUAUGGUCAAUAGUCAAAGGGAAAUUGAGUAACAAAUACAUAGAGACCUCAGAAAUAUGGAAGAAUAAUGUUGUAAUAGUAGGUAAUUAUUUUCCGAACAUUGACUAGGGCUCUCAUUGUGUUAAAAGUUUGGUUGGUGAAUUUGUUAAAUGUGUUCAAGGAAAUUUUCUUUAUCAAUAUGUCAACGUUCCUACUAGAGAAGCAGCAAAACUUGACCUCGUGGAUAAUAAGAGCAACACCUGGAACUUAGCCUCCACCAUUUGGCUGACUAAUUUGUAUUGUGCAUCUGCCCAUGAACUAGGAGUCCUUUAUCUCAGUGUGACCUAUCUUCACUCCCUGCAGGCAACACUUGCAACCUUUCUAGGAAAUUGUAACUUAAAUCAGAUCUGUAUUUCGGUAGUGAUGCUCCAAAAACUGAUAACUGACUUCAGAAAGAAAGGAGGAGAACAUGCCCCCAUCUACAUCAAUGGAACUGAGGUUGAGAGGGUGGAGAGCAUCAAGUUCCUUGAAGAGACGGUAACUGGCAACCUAUCCUGGACUUCCCACGUAGAUACGAUAGUCGAGAAGGCACAGCAACGCCUCUUCUGCCUCAGGCGACUCAGGAAAUUUGGCAAGUCCAGAGGCACUGUCACGAACUUGUACAGAUGUACAACUAAAAAUAUACUGUCCGUUUGCAUGAUGGCAACUGCUCUGCCCAGGACCGUGAAAAACUACAGAAAGUGGUGUGCACGGCUCAAACCAUAAUGGAAACCAAACCUUCCUUCCAUGGACUCCAUUUACAUGACUCGCUGCUGCAGAAAGGUUGCCUACAUCAGCAAAGACUGAUCGCACCCUGGUAAUGAUCUCCUACAACCUUUUCCAUCAGGCAAAAGAUACAGAAGCCUGAACACAUGCACCAGCAGGUUCAGGAACAGCUUCUUCCUGGCCAUUAUUAGACUGAAGCAUGGACUGUCUAGGGAGUCGGUUGAGGUUAGUGGGCCCACUCCCAUCUCCUAUUUUGGAAAGAGGAACAGGAAUACAGAGUACUGGGCUAAUGGUAGUGUUCUUGGUGGUGUGGAUGAGCAGAGUGAUUUCGGUGUCCAUGUGCAAAGAUCCUUGAAAAUUGCCACCCAGGUUGAUAGCGCUGUUAAGAAGGCUUACAGUGUGUUAGGUUUUAUUGGUAGAGAGAUUGAGUUUCAGAGCCAUGAGGUCAUGUCAAAGCUGUACAAAACUCUGGUGCAGCCACACUUGAAGUAUCGCAUACAGUUCUGGUCGCUGCAUUAAAGGAAGGAUGUGGAAGCAUUGGAAAGGGUGCAGAGGAGAUUUACCAGGAUGUUGCCUGGUCUGGAGGGAGCGUAUUGUGAGGAAAGGCUGAGGGACUUGAGGCUGUUUUCGUUAGAGAGCAGAAGGUUAAGGGGUGACUUAAUAGUGACGUACAAGAUGAUCAGAAGAUUAGAUAGGGUGGACGGUGAGACCCUUUUUCCUCAGAUGGUGAUGGCUAGCACGAGAGGAUAUAGCUUUAAAUUGCGUGGUGAUAGAUCUAGGACAGAAGUCAGAGGUAGGUUCUUUACUCAGUAGUAAGGGCGUGGAAUGCCCUGCCUUGCAACAGGAGUAGACUCGCCAACUUUAAGGACAUUUAAGUGGUCAUUGGAUAAACAUGUGGAUGAUAAUGGAAUAGUGUAGGUUAGAUGGGCUUCAGAUUGGUUUCACAGGUCGGCGCAACAUCGCCGGCUGAAGGGUCUGUACUGCGCUGUAGUGUUCUAUUUUAUGUUCUACCUACUAACCUCAUCCCGCCCCCUUGACCUGUCCGUCCUCCCUGGACUGACCUAUCUCCUCCCUUACUCCUCACCUACACUCACCUUUACUGGCUCCAUCCCCGCCUCUUUGACCUGUCUGUCUGCCCUCCACCUGUCUUCUCCACUAUCUAUCUUCUAUCUGCUUCCCCUUCUCUCCCUAUUUAUUUCAGAACCCCCUUUCCCUCCCUCAUUUCUGAAGAAGGGUCUAGUUUUUCACUGAUUGAUGGUACUUCAGUACAUGUGACAAUCAAAAGUUAACGUUUCCGUAAACACGAUCCUGAAGCUGACAGGAAUGGAUCUUCCUUUAUGCAAGAUAGGAUGAGUCAACCCCCACUUCUUCAUAAUCCUUCUCAAGCGAGGCUAAGUCCUCCCUUGCGUCUUGGAACUCUCCUUCCUCCAGGCCUUCUCCCACGUACCAGUGAACAAAGGCCCGCUUGGCGUACAUCUUAUCAAAUUUGAUAUUGAGCCGGGUCCACGCAAAAGCAAUGGCGGUGGUGUUGCUCAGCAUGCAGAGGGCCCGCUGCACCUUUGCCAGGUCGCCCCCUGGUACCACUGUUGGGGGCUGGUAAUUGAUGCCAACCUGUGGAGAAGGACAUUUGUCAGAUGUCAUUUGCUUUGGACUUGGAAAUCAAAAGGUUUGGCUCAUUAAUGGCUCAGUUGUCAGAGAUAGCCAUGAGCACACUUGUAUCUUUAUUUCAAAACGUUCAUGCAAUGGUUCUCCAUUCCUCUCAAUUGGAAAUGUCAGCAUCUUUUUGGAAGAAGAUGAGACUUAGGAACAGGAGGAUUCCAUUUGGCUCCUCUAGCAAUCUCACCAAUCAAUAGAAUCAACUGGAUCGGAUUGUAAUUCCAAUUUCUUAUUCAAUGAUCCAGCCUCCCUGCACUCUAGGGGAUAUUGCUCCAAAGGUUCAUGACCCUCCUCAAAAUUGAACAGGAGACCCUUUUCUUCAUUCUCUAAUUCUAUGCACGAAUUGAUGAACAUGAUUUGACCUGGAAUGGACAGCAUAGUGUUCACCUCUUGUCAAAUUCACUCAUUCUAGGCACCCCCAGGUCCCCAAUUUCACACAAGCCCUACACUAACCUUGAACCCAGUUGGGCACCAAUCAACAAAUUGGAUUGAGCGUUUGCCCUUGAUUGUGGCGAUGGCAGCGUUGACGUCCUUGGGCACCACAUCUCCUCGGUACAGCAUGCAGCAUGCCAUGUACUUGCCCUGGCGGGGGUCACAUUUCACCAUCUGGUUGGCUGGUUCAAAGCAGGAGUUGGUGAUCUCUGCCACUGACAGUUGCUCAUGGUAAGCCUUCUCAGCAGAAAUAAGAGGGGCGAAGGUUGCCAAAGGGAAGUGAAUGCGAGGAUAGGGGACCAAGUUGGUCUGGAACUCUGUCAGGUCCACAUUGAGGGCACCGUCAAACCGGAGUGACGCCGUGAUGGACGACACCACCUGUGCAAUGAGACGGUUGAGGUUGGUGUAGGUUGGUCGCUCAAUGUCAAGGUUUCGUCGACAAACAUCAUAAAUGGCUUCAUUGUCCACCAUGAAGGCACAGUCAGAGUGCUCGAGGGUGCAGUGGGUGACAAGCACUGAGUUGUAUGGCUCAACCACCGCGGUGGAGAUCUGGGGGGCAGGGUAGACGGAGAACUCCAGCUUGGAUUUCUUGCCGUAGUCAACAGAGAGUCUCUCCAUCAGGAGGGAAGUGAAACCUGAACCGGUGCCACCCCCGAAACUGUGGAAGAUGAGGAAUCCCUGCAGCCCUGUGCACAGAUCAGCCUGUGGAGAAGCGCAAACAUAUUUAGCAUAACGUGAAUAUGUUUAAAAAUAUAAAUACUACAGCCUUAAGAACAAAGUUAGGCUUGAGAAUUUCUGAAUUAAUUAACUCAUCUUCUGAUUCCCCAAAGUCUGUUCACUAUUUACAAGUCAGGAGUAUGAUGGAAUAAACUCCAACUGCCUGGUGCAGCUCCAAAAACUCAAGUUGUUCCACACCAUCCAGGACAAUGCAAUUUAUUUGACUGGCUCCACAUACCCAAACAUUCACUCUUUCCACCAAGCAGUGUGCAACACGUACAAGGUGCACUGCAGUAAGUCAGUGUUUCUUCAACAGACCCUUUCUAACAUGUGACCUCUCCCGUCUCGAAGGAGAAGUAUAGGAGAUGUCACAUUGCUCCUUCAAGCCACUUACCAUUCUGAGUUGGAAAUAUAUUGCUCCUGUGUCACUGAGUCUAAAUUCUUGAUUACCCUGUGUAAUAGCACCACCGGACCACCACAGUUCAAGACGACAACUUAUGACAGCUUCUCAAGGAUAAUUAGGGAUGGGAAACAAGUGAUGGAGAAGCAAUUAACAUAUAUGUUUCAUGAAUUAGUCAAAAUGGGCAUGGAGAGUAAACAUGUGGAGAACCUUGCGAAAUUGUGUGGAAACAGGUAUCCAGCAACAGGUCUGAGGCCUUCAGAACAUUAAUUCUUUUUCAGGAUGUGGGUAUCAUUUGCAAGGCUGCUGUUUGUUGGCCAUCUUGAAUUACCCUUGAACUUAAUGUUUCACUGGGGCCAUUUCAGGGUACAUUUGUAGUCAACCACAUUGGAAUAGAUCGUAAGUCACACAGGAUAGACAGGUGACGAUGGCAUCUUUUU